AUCCAUGGAGGGUAUUAGAGACAUAUUUGUGGUCUUGAUAUGGAACCUGAAAGAAAAGUUUAGCAUCAAAGUUAAAGUGGUAGAAAGGAGGCAUGGAAGAAGUGUUCAACACAUCUUGGGAAAAUCAAGAGGUCCAUCUUAUGGAUGGAAAGAAAGAAAGAAAUCCCGAGGGAUUCAUAAGCCACUGAGAUUGCUGAAUUUUCCCCUGGGUCUGUGGUUCCUACAGGAAGACUCGCAGCCUCACCGCAGGAGCUGAAGCGGUGUAUGGGAGAGAAGCAGAGUACUACAGUGACAAGUACACUGGGCAUGCCAAGAGGAUACCUACAAUCUAGUAUCUGAUGUGAAUGUUUCACUCAAAUAAAUGUGGAUAAUGUUUUGUCCAAAUUCUGUUUGAAACAUAAUGGUUG
RNAcentral lists this long non-coding RNA (407 nucleotides) under Equus caballus (horse). Its description in RNAcentral is "lncRNA (ENSECAG00000042699.2)". Lineage: Eukaryota; Metazoa; Chordata; Mammalia; Perissodactyla; Equidae. The record is from RNAcentral.